AUGCCCUACGGAUGCUCAGGUCCGCCGCAUCUCCUGGGACUUCGUGGGCUCGGCCAGGCUGGGGGCGGAUCGUUGCCUCCUCAACACCGCUUCCCAGCUGGCCACCUC
RNAcentral lists this small RNA (108 nucleotides) under Microvirga vignae. Its description in RNAcentral is "EcpR1". It matches the Rfam family "EcpR1". Rfam says of the family: Perviously named SmelC291, SmrC10, or Sra33. According to its overproduction phenotype it was renamed Elongated Cell Phenotype RNA1. Induced by stress,EcpR1 negatively regulates cell cycle master regulatory genes dnaA and gcrA at post-transcriptional level by base pairing between its strongly conserved GC-rich loop and the target mRNAs. Lineage: Bacteria; Pseudomonadati; Pseudomonadota; Alphaproteobacteria; Hyphomicrobiales; Methylobacteriaceae. The record is from Rfam by way of RNAcentral.